This 440-nucleotide ribosomal RNA is filed under the name uncultured bacterium. Its description in RNAcentral is "partial 16S ribosomal RNA". It matches the Rfam family "Bacterial small subunit ribosomal RNA", at positions 338 to 795 of the family's 1533-position model. The record is from RNAcentral.
CCUACGGGUGGCAGCAGUGGGGAAUAUUGCACAAUGGGGGAAACCCUGAUGCAGCGACGCCGCGUGAGUGAUGAAGUAUUUCGGUAUGUAAAGCUCUAUCAGCAGGGAAGAUAAUGACGGUACCUGAAUAAGAAGCCCCGGCUAAAUACGUGCCAGCAGCCGCGGUAAGACGUAGGGAGCAAGCGUUAUCCGGAUUUACUGGGUGGAAGGGGAGCGCAGACGGCAGGACAAGUCUGAUGUGAAAGUCCGGGGCUCAACCCCGGGACUGCAUUGGAAACUGUCCAGCUAGAGUGCAGUAGAGGUAAGUGGAAUUCCUAGUGUAGAGGUGAAAUGCGUAGAUAUUAGGAGGAACACCAGUGGCGAAGGCGGCUUACUGGACUGUAACUGACGUUGAGGCUCGAAAGCGUGGGGAGCAAACAGGAUUAGAUACCCGAGUAGUC